Molecule: unclassified non-coding RNA, 2547 nt
Filed under: Hevea brasiliensis (rubber tree)
Lineage: Eukaryota; Viridiplantae; Streptophyta; Magnoliopsida; Malpighiales; Euphorbiaceae
Source: RNAcentral
CAUGAAAAGAACGGCUCUAGUCCACCCAUUCAUGCCAAAAAAAGCUAAUAAUACGACAUCGUUUAGAAUCUUUCCAUGGUCAAGCAAAGCCAUCUCAAUUCUCACCCACUUGCCUUUGUAGAAAGCUCCUCUGUCGUGGGCUCAGCAGCAAAAGCUGAAUUAACUAGAUCAUCUUUCUCAGAGACAAAUUAGAUUUUCUUGUUGGGAAACGCUGAACUAACUCAUCUUCCUCGGAGGCAAAAUUAGUUCCUAAAGAUCAAAGCUUGUUCAGAUUCUGUCUCAAUCAAGAGGUUUCAAUAUUGGACUAAACAUAGAGAUUUUGCAUAUUGGAGUACUCCUUCAUAUUAUUAACAUUUCAAUUCCAAUGACAUAUCUACAAAACUGAUUGACAAAGCUCAAUUUUUGAGUGAGAGAAUGGAUUCGGUCAGUAAUGGGAAUCAAAAAGGAGAAACGGAGGAAUCAAAUGGUGCUAAACUCCAGGGUCAUAUCCCUCUCAACAUUUCAGCAUCUAGAAGGACCCUCUUGGGCAAUGAAAAUUUGCAAAGGAAUCUCCAAGACAGCUCAACUGCCCAUCCCAAUAAAAUAAAAUUUCUUAAAUUUGGCUCUGCAUCUGCCAAAUUCAAGCGGUUGGCUCAGGAUAGAGAUGAGAUGUCACGCUCAGUGGCUUCUUCAAGUAGCCACGGUCUUCGCGAACGCAUGAAGGAGAUUGAUUGGGCUUUUCUAAUGAAAACAAGCAAAGAAUGGAUCCGGGAUCCAAUGAACAUGGCCCUCUUUGUUUGGAUCGUGUGUGUUGCUAUUUCAGGUGCAAUUCUGUUCCUAGUCAUGACUGGAAUGUUAAAUGGUGUGUUGCCAAAGAAGUCACAGAGAAAUGCGUGGUUUGAAGUAAAUAAUCAAAUACUCAAUGCAUUGUUCACUCUAAUGUGCCUUUACCAGCAUCCAAAACGGUUCUACCACCUUGUACUUCUCUGUAGAUGGAAACCGGAGGACAUUUCUAGACUCAGAAAGAUUUACUGCAAAAAUGGGAUCUACAAGCCCCAUGAGUGGGCACACAUGAUGGUUGUUGUUAUUCUACUCCAUGUGAAUUGUUUUGCUCAAUAUGCACUGUGUGGUCUAAAUUUGGGGUACAAGAGAUCUGAGCGACCUGCCAUAGGAGUUGGAAUAUGUAUAUCUUUUGCAAUAGCUGCACCUGCAAUUGCUGGGGUAUACACCAUUAUUAGUCCCCUUGGGAGGGAUUAUUCUGAAUUUGAUGAGGAAGCACAGCAUCAAAUUACUGCUGGUGAGGGUAAGAGGCCAGAGCAGUUAAGAAGAAAAUCAUUAGAAAAGAGAUAUUCCUUUGCAACAAGAGAUGAAGGAAGUGUUGAGACUAGACCACAAUGGAGUGGAGGGAUCCUUGAUUUUUGGGAUGACAUCUCUCUGGCAUAUCUAUCGCUCUUCUGUAGUUUUUGUGUCUUUGGAUGGAAUAUGGAGAGGCUUGGAUUUGGAAACAUGUAUGUUCAUAUUGCAACCUUUCUCCUCUUUUGUAUGGCUCCUUUCUGGAUUUUCAACUUGGCUGCCAUUAAUAUUGAUAAUGAGACUGUCAGGGAAGCUUUAGGAGUUACUGGUAUUAUUCUUUGUGCAUUUGGUUUGCUAUAUGGUGGCUUCUGGAGGAUUCAAAUGAGAAAAAGAUUUAAUUUGCCAACUUAUACCUUCUGUUUUGGUAAACCAGCAGUUUCUGAUUGCACGUUGUGGCUAUGUUGUUGUUGGUGCUCCCUAGCACAGGAAGUUCGAACUGGGAAUUCUUAUGAUAUUGUGGAAGAUAAGUUUUACAGGAAAGACAUGGACAGUAGUAAUCAUCUGCAGCCUUCACCUCAUGAAGAUGGUUCUAGUGCAAGUUCUCAACUUGGCAACAACCAUAGCUCAUCCAAGACUUUGAUAGCAAAUUCUCCAAGUCCUAGCAGAGUUUCAAAUGUGUAUUAUAAUCCAGAUAGGCAGAUUUCUACUGUAAAAGAAGAGUCUUCUACAGAAGGCAAGGAUAAGACUAUGACUCCACCAUCUCUAUCAUUGAUAGAAAGAGAAGCCACUUAGCUGGAACGCAAUUUAGAUAGCAUUCUUAUAUACUGGUAAUGAUUUGAUGUGGAAUGGCAAUGUAAACUUUACAUUUAUGAUGUAUCAUGAGCGACUCCGAUACAAUACAUACCUACAUCUUUUACAAAUACUAGUUUUCCUCUUCAAAGAUUUUGCAUUUUGAACAAAUUUACUUUCAUAUGGGUCUAUGUCAAGAUUAAGUUUUUGAGGAAAUACUUUACUCUCAGGGACAUUAUUUUCUGAUAGCAAUCUGUUUGGUCUGUAAAGCAGCGGAUAUGUUAUUUAAGAUAAAUAAGGGAUCUGUGCACCAAAUAAAGAUUUAAGUUCAAAUUUGAGGAAAUCCUUUACUCUGAGCAUUGUUUUCUGAUAGCAAUCUGUUUGGUCUGUAAAGCAGCGGAUAUGUUAUUUAAGAUAAAUAAGGGAUCUGUGCACCAAAUAAAGAUUUAAGUUCAAAUUUGAGGAAAUCCUUUACUCUGAGCAUUG